AACGAACGCUGGCGGCAUGCCUAACACAUGCAAGUCGAACGGCACCUCCGGUUCUUGCGGCUCACGGGUGCGUACGGAGGGGGAACCUGCCCAUAGGUACGGAAUCACUCCCCGGGGGGGGUGCUAAUACCGCCGAAUUUCUACGGCCCACGGGCUUCUCGCGCUUGGGUGGGCCCGCGUUGGCUUGGCCUGUUGGUAUGGUCAACGCCUACCAAGGCGACAGUCCGUAGCUGGUCUGAGAGGAAGAGCAGCCACACUGGGACUGGGCCACGGCCCAGACUCCUACGGGAGGCAGGAGUGGCUAAUAUAGGACUGUGGGCUAAGGCAUGAUCCAGCUAUGCCGCGUGAGCGAUGAAGGCCGUAGGGUUGUACAGCGCUUUUAUCCGGGCGGAUAAUGACGGUACCGGGAGAAUAAGCUCCGGCUAACUACGUG
Molecule: ribosomal RNA, 433 nt
Filed under: uncultured bacterium
Lineage: Bacteria
Description: partial 16S ribosomal RNA
Rfam family: Bacterial small subunit ribosomal RNA
Source: RNAcentral